This 395-nucleotide ribosomal RNA is filed under the name uncultured bacterium. RNAcentral's name for it is "partial 16S ribosomal RNA". It matches the Rfam family "Bacterial small subunit ribosomal RNA", at positions 360 to 773 of the family's 1533-position model. The record is from RNAcentral.
AAUAUUGCACAAUGGGGGAAACCCUGAUGCUGCGACGCCGCGUGAGCGAAGAAGUCCUUCGCGUCGUAAAGCUCUGUCCUAAGGGAAGAAACGGACGGUACCUUAGGUGGAAGUCCCGGCUACCUACUUGCCAGCAGCCGCGGUAAUACGUAGGGGGCGAGCGUUAUCCGGAAUUACUGGGCGUAAAGGGUGCGUAGGCGGCCUUUUAAGUCAGAGGUGAAAGGCUAAGGCUUAACCGUAGUUAGCAUUUGAAACUAGAAGGCUUGAGUGCAGGAGAGGAGAGUGGAAUUCCUAGUGUAGCGGUGAAAUGCGUAGAUAUUAGGAGGAACACCAGUGGCGAAGGCGACUCUCUGGACUGCAACUGACGCUGAGGCACGAAAGCGUGGGGAGCGAAC